UACAGAGGGCUCAAGCGUUGUUCGGAAUCAUUGGGCGUAAAGGGUGUGUAGGUGGCGCCGUAAGUCGGGGGUGAAAUUUCGGAGCUUAACUCCGAAACUGCAUUCGAUACUGCGGUGCUUGAGGUCUGGAGAGGAGACUGGAAUUCAUGGUGUAGCAGUGAAAUGCGUAGAGAUCAUGAGGAAGACCAGUGGCGAAGGCGGGUCUCUGGACAGUUCCUGACACUGAGACACGAAGGCCAGGGGAGCAAACGGG
This 253-nucleotide ribosomal RNA is filed under the name uncultured bacterium. Its description in RNAcentral is "partial 16S ribosomal RNA". It matches the Rfam family "Bacterial small subunit ribosomal RNA", at positions 524 to 776 of the family's 1533-position model. The record is from RNAcentral.